GAUGAACGCUGGCGGCGUGCUUAACACAUGCAAGUCGAACGGGAUCGGCUGGAGCUUGCUCCGGCCGUGAGAGUGGCGAACGGGUGAGUAAUGCGUGACCGACCUGCCCCAUACACCGGAAUAGCUCCUGGAAACGGGUGGUAAUGCCGGAUGCUCCAGUUGACCGCAUGGUCCUCUGGGAAAGCUUUUGCGGUAUGGGAUGGGGUCGCGUCCUAUCAGCUUGAUGGCGGGGUAACGGCCCACCAUGGCUUCGACGGGUAGCCGGCCUGAGAGGGCGACCGGCCACAUUGGGACUGAGAUACGGUCCAGACUCCUACGGGAGGCAGCAGUGGGGAAUAUUGCACAAUGGGCGCAAGCCUGAUGCAGCGACGCCGCGUGCGGGAUGACGGCCUUCGGGUUGUAAACCGCUUUUGACUGGGAGCAAGCCCUUCGGGGUGAGUGUACCUUUCGAAUAAGCACCGG
Molecule: ribosomal RNA, 462 nt
Filed under: uncultured bacterium
Lineage: Bacteria
Description: bacterial SSU rRNA
Rfam family: Bacterial small subunit ribosomal RNA
Source: RNAcentral